GAAUAUGUAGUGUAGCGGUGAAAUGCUUAGAUAUUACAUGGAAUACCAAUUGCGAAGGCAGGUUACUACAAGUGGAUUGACGCUGAUGGACGAAAGCGUGGGGAGCGAACAGGAUUAGAUACCCUGGUAGUCCACGCCGUAAACGAUGGAUACUAGCUGUUCGGAGCAAUCUGAGUGGCUAAGCGAAAGUGAUAAGUAUCCCACCUGGGGAGUACGCACGCAAGUGUGAAACUCAAAGGAAUUGACGGGGGCCCGCACAAGCGGAGGAGCAUGUGGUUUAAUUCGAUGAUACGCGAGGAACCUUACCAGGGCUUAAAUGGGAGACGACAGUUUGGGAAACCAGAUUUUCUUCGGACGUCUUUCAAGGUGCUGCAUGGUUGUCGUCAGCUCGUGCCGUGAGGUGUCAGGUUAAGUCCUAUAACGAGCGCAACCCCUAUUGUUAGUUGCCAGCGGGUCAUGCCGGGAACUCUAACAAGACUGCCGGUGCAAACCGUGAGGAAGGUGGGGAUGACGUCAAAUCAUCACGGCCCUUACGUCCUGGGCUACACACGUGCUACAAUGGACGGUACAGAGAGCAGCCACUGCGCAAGCAGGAGCGAAUCUUCAAAGCCGUUCUCAGUUCGGAUCGGAGUCUGCAACUCGACUCCGUGAAGCUGGAUUCGCUAGUAAUCGCAUAUCAGCCAUGAUGCGGUGAAUACGUUCCCGGGCCUUGUACACACCGCCCGUCAAGCCA
RNAcentral lists this ribosomal RNA (733 nucleotides) under Flavobacterium sp. s16sy. RNAcentral's name for it is "bacterial SSU rRNA". It matches the Rfam family "Bacterial small subunit ribosomal RNA", at positions 664 to 1404 of the family's 1533-position model. The record is from RNAcentral. Lineage: Bacteria; Pseudomonadati; Bacteroidota; Flavobacteriia; Flavobacteriales; Flavobacteriaceae.